UACGGAAGGUCCGGGCGUUAUCCGGAUUUAUUGGGUUUAAAGGGAGCGCAGGCGGGAUAUUAAGCGUGACGUGAAAUGUAGCCGCUCAACGGCUGAACUGCGUCGCGAACUGGUAUUCUUGAGUGAGUUCGAUGUAGGCGGAAUUCGUGGUGUAGCGGUGAAAUGCUUAGAUAUCACGAAGAACUCCGAUUGCGAAGGCAGCCUACAAGGCCUUUACUGACGCUAAAGCUCGAAGGUGCGGGUAU
Molecule: ribosomal RNA, 245 nt
Filed under: uncultured Prevotella sp.
Lineage: Bacteria; Pseudomonadati; Bacteroidota; Bacteroidia; Bacteroidales; Prevotellaceae
Description: partial 16S ribosomal RNA
Rfam family: Bacterial small subunit ribosomal RNA
Source: RNAcentral